Molecule: long non-coding RNA, 981 nt
Filed under: Vitis vinifera (wine grape)
Lineage: Eukaryota; Viridiplantae; Streptophyta; Magnoliopsida; Vitales; Vitaceae
Description: long non-coding RNA (VVIN_LNC002917)
Source: RNAcentral
UGCAUUAUACAGGACAAGUGAUAGACCAUUAGAGACUAUAAGGGUCACCAAGGAAGACCCGAGGCUUGGGAGAGGUUGAGUUCAUUUUUACCUUAAGGUAGUACCUAGGGUCCCUUAAGGUAGUACCUAAAGGCCAUUAAGGUAGUACCUAAGGGCCCUUAAGGUAGUACCUAAGGUACAGUCCCAAAAAACCUUUGGUGGACCUCUUGAGCACUCAAGAGAACUACAUAAUGGGAUGCUCUAAGGGUCACAAAGGAAGACCCAAGGCUUAGGAGAGGUUGAGUUCAAGUUUAGCAAAGUUAGUACCUAGACUCCCUUAAGGUAGUACCUAAAGGUCAUUAAGGUAGUACCUAAAGGCCCUUAAGGUAGUACCUACGGUACAGUCCCAAAAAACCUUUGGUGGACCACUUCAACACUCAAGAGAACCACAUAAUGGGAUGGUCUAAGGGUCACAAAGGAAGACUCGAGGCUUGGGAGAGGUUGAGUUCAAGUUUAGCUAAGGUAGUACCUAGGGUCCCUUAAGGUAGUAUCUAAAGGCCAUUAAGGUAGUACCUAAGGGCCCUUAAGGUAGUACCUAAGGUAUAGUCCCAAAAAACCUUUGGUGGACCACUUCAACACUCAAGAGAACCAUAUAAUGGGAUGCUCUAAGGGUCACAAAGGAAGACUCGAGGCUUGGGAGAGGUUGAGUUCAUGUUUACCUUAAGGUAGUACCUAGGGUCCCUUAAGGUAGUACCUAAAGGCCAUUAAGGUAGUACCUAAGGGCCUUUAAGGUAGUACCUAAGUUACAGUCCCAAAAAACCUUUGGUGGACCUCUUGAGCACUCAAGAGAACCACAUAAUGGGAUGCUCUAAGGGUCACAAAGGGGAACCCAAGAAGCAAAAUCCGGGAGAAAUUUGUUCCAGUUCACAUAUGAGUUUGUUGAGCUGGCCUAAGGGGAAGGCAUUUUCGGUAUGAAAUAACACCUUGGACCAGAGUGCAUGA